This 370-nucleotide ribosomal RNA is filed under the name uncultured prokaryote. Its description in RNAcentral is "bacterial SSU rRNA". It matches the Rfam family "Bacterial small subunit ribosomal RNA", at positions 524 to 896 of the family's 1533-position model. The record is from RNAcentral.
CACGUAGGGGGCGAGCGUUGUUCGGAAUUACUGGGCGUAAAGGGCAUGUAGGCGGCUUUGUAAGCUUGGCGUGAAAUUCCACGGCUUAACCGUGGGAAUGCGUUGAGAACUGCGAGGCUUGAGUGACGGAGAGGGAGCUAGAAUUCCUGGUGUAGGGGUGGAAUCUGUAGAGAUCAGGAAGAAUACCAAUGGCGAAGGCAAGCUCCUGGCCGAUGACUGACGCUGAGGUGCGAAAGUGUGGGGAUCAAACAGGAUUAGAUACCCUGGUAGUCCACACUGUAAACGAUGUACACUAGGUGCUGGGGCGGAUGCUUCAGUGCCGUAGCUAACGUGAUAAGUGUACCGCCUGGGGAGUAUGCUCGCAAGGGUG